UACAGAGACUGCGAGCGUUAUUCGGAAUCACUGGGCGUAAAGGGUGCGUAGGCGGGUCUUUAAGUCAGGGGUGAAAUCCUGGAGCUCAACUCCAGAACUGCCUUUGAUACUGAGGAUCUUGAGUACGGGAGAGGUGAGUGGAACUGCGAGUGUAGAGGUGAAAUUCGUAGAUAUUCGCAAGAACACCAGUGGCGAAGGCGGCUCACUGGCCCGGUACUGACGCUGAGGCACGAAAGCGUGGGGAGCAAACAGG
Molecule: ribosomal RNA, 253 nt
Filed under: uncultured bacterium
Lineage: Bacteria
Description: partial 16S ribosomal RNA
Rfam family: Bacterial small subunit ribosomal RNA
Source: RNAcentral